This 99-nucleotide small RNA is filed under the name Leptospira meyeri. RNAcentral describes it as "Flavo-1 RNA". It matches the Rfam family "Flavo-1 RNA". The record is from RNAcentral. Lineage: Bacteria; Pseudomonadati; Spirochaetota; Leptospiria; Leptospirales; Leptospiraceae.
CCUGCGCCAGCGAUUGCAGUGGAAAUCUUUCGUAAAUUUAUAUGGAUCCAUUUUCAGUUAGAAACUAACGAAAGAUUGGAACGAAAAGCGCGGUCGUUA